UAAUGGCCUACCAAGGCGACAAUCCGUAGCUGGUCUGAGAGGACCACCAGCCACACCGGUAACUGAACACGGUCCGGACUCCUACGGGAGGCAGCAGUGGGGAAUAUUGCGCAAUGGGCGAAAGCCUGACGCAGCGCCGCCUCGUGGGGGAUGAAGGCCUUCGGGUUGUAAACCCUUUUCAGCAGGGACGAAGCGAAAGUGACGGUACCUGCAGAAGAAGCGCCGGCUAACUACGUGCCAGCAGCCGCGGUAAUACGAAGGGUGCUAGCGUUGCUCGGAAUGACUGGUCGUAAACGGCGCGUAGGCGGUUUGUUUAGUUAGACGUGAAAUUCCUGGGCUCAAGCUGGGGGACUGCGUUUUAAUACAGGCAUUCUUGAGUGUGGAAGAUGGUUGUGGUAAUCUCCCCAGUGUAGGUGGAUGAAUAAUUCGU
RNAcentral lists this ribosomal RNA (430 nucleotides) under uncultured soil bacterium. RNAcentral describes it as "bacterial SSU rRNA". It matches the Rfam family "Bacterial small subunit ribosomal RNA", at positions 258 to 691 of the family's 1533-position model. The record is from RNAcentral.